UACGAUGGGGGCAAGCGUUGUUCGGAAUUAUUGGGCGUAAAGGGCGCGUAGGCGGUUUGGCAAGUUUCGUGUGAAAACUUCGGGCUCAACUCGAAGCCUGCACGGAAAACUGCCGGGCUUGAGUAUGGGAGAGGUGAGUGGAAUUUCCGGUGUAGCGGUGAAAUGCGUAGAUAUCGGAAGGAACACCUGUGGCGAAAGCGGCUCACUGGACCAUAACUGACGCUGAUGCACGAAAGCGUGGGGAUCGAACAGG
This 253-nucleotide ribosomal RNA is filed under the name uncultured bacterium. Its description in RNAcentral is "partial 16S ribosomal RNA". It matches the Rfam family "Bacterial small subunit ribosomal RNA", at positions 524 to 776 of the family's 1533-position model. The record is from RNAcentral.